Molecule: long non-coding RNA, 315 nt
Filed under: Equus caballus (horse)
Lineage: Eukaryota; Metazoa; Chordata; Mammalia; Perissodactyla; Equidae
Description: lncRNA (ENSECAG00000058507.1)
Source: RNAcentral
AUUCCUGACCUCAUCACUUACUAGCUGGUUGAUCUUGGGUAAACCAUCUAACCUUUUUGUACCUCAUUUUUCCCAUCUGCAAAACGAGGACGAUGGCAUCACAAGCCUGAAAGGGCUGUUGUGAAUCUUCAGUGCGUUCAUACAUGUCAAGCACUCAGGGACAGGCCCAAGAAAGGAUUGAAGCCAGUUUAAGAAGAUACGUGAAACAUGCAAAACAUCAUAUAUAAAAAGCAAAGAUGAAAGAAGAAAAUAAAGCAAGGGAGGGGUCAUUACAUAGAAAGAAGACAUCUGUUGUUUUGGAGCAGUGAAAUAAGG